CGGCCGCCGCCCCCUGUCGAAUCCCCCGCGGCCCCCUGCGCAGCGCGCGGAGCGCAGGAAACCGGCAUAUGCCAGGCUCCACACGUGGCUGCUCCAGGGUGUCAUUUUUCAUUUCCCGGGAGGACAUUUCUCCCGGUGGGCCGGCAGGUCUGUUUUGUUGUGACCUUUAAUUAACACCCCGCGAGACGCCUCGAGAGGGACCGGCCCAGUGCGGGGAUCACGUGAGGUGUAAUGGCAUCUCCGCGCCCAGAGACACCGUCCUGGGGGUGGGCGAGGGCUCAAAGGACGUCUGGGGCUUUCCAGAGCCUGGUUUCCUUCUGAGAUAGGGAGGGGGCAGGAAGACAACCUUGUGGGGUGCCGAAACCCUGGGGCAACGCCCCUCCCGCCUUCCCGGGGGAAAAUUCCUUCUGGGCCUGGCUCCCGCUGCCAUCCACCCGCCCUCCCCCUGCCGCCCCAGCCCCGGCGUGGGAAGAUUUCACAGCCACCAAAGCGAGGUCUCUUGGAGUUAACGUCUGCUACUGCACUUAAAAUGGAAGACACUUGCAACGGAUUGGAGGGAAGCAGAGGCCAGUUACUAAGAUCAGACAAUGUGUCCUUAGCCCACUGACACUGGGCACCAGAUGUGACGACCAUGGACCAUGCCACCAUUUAUCACAGGGAACAUGGCAUCGAUGAAUCACUGUUUAUAAUUAUAAAGGAAGAGAACUAACCUACAUGUGCAUCUGGAGGGGAUGGGUUUAAUACCUUACACUAUCAUCAGACCACGGUGUACCAUGCAGCCGUUAAAAAUGUUUUCAUAGGGGCGCCUGGGUGGCUCAGUCAGUUAAGCAUUCGACUUUAGCUCAGGUCAUG
Molecule: long non-coding RNA, 852 nt
Organism: Suricata suricatta (meerkat)
Lineage: Eukaryota; Metazoa; Chordata; Mammalia; Carnivora; Herpestidae
Exons: 3
Source: RefSeq, a predicted model, not a curated record